AUACUUUUGAUGAAAAGGAUUCACAACACCAUUACAGGAGGCAGAAGGGGCUGAAGACCUUCUUUCGGUGUUUGUAGACAGAUGCAGGAACAGACGCCUCCAUUCUCUGGAAAAAAUGAUCAGCAGGAACGCCCAAAUCCAUCCAUUUGUCUGUCAUGUGUCAAGCAAAUGGUGCUGACACUGGGAAAUGCACAGCACUUGACGCGUGCGUUUUGAGACUAGCAUGAUGUCCUCUGCCCACAAACGGAGGGACAGUUUGGCAAACUGGAGCAGAAACAGACCCCUGGACAUGGCCAGGAGUGACUCCUUG
Molecule: long non-coding RNA, 310 nt
Organism: Haliaeetus leucocephalus (bald eagle)
Lineage: Eukaryota; Metazoa; Chordata; Aves; Accipitriformes; Accipitridae
Exons: 3
Source: RefSeq, a predicted model, not a curated record